Molecule: long non-coding RNA, 3180 nt
Filed under: Pan paniscus (pygmy chimpanzee)
Lineage: Eukaryota; Metazoa; Chordata; Mammalia; Primates; Hominidae
Description: lncRNA (ENSPPAG00000044840.1)
Source: RNAcentral
AAGUUACCGUCUCAAAAAAAAAAAAAAAAAAGGAAAUGGGGUCUCACUCUGUUGCUCAGGCUGGUCUUGAACUUCUGAAUUUAAGUGAUCGUCCCCCUUUGGCCUCCUAAAGUGCUGGGAUUACAGGCGUGGCCCACCACGCCUGGCUCUGCUGUUAGAUUUUGAACAACUGCUUUAAUGGGGUGGAGCGGUAGGUUCCUGGGGAGUGGAGGCCAGACCACACAAGGUGGGUAAAGGCAGCUGUAGGCCUUUGCAGACCUCAUGAAGUGUUUGCUUCUGGUCUAGCCUUGUGCUGGGUGCUGAGUGGGAAAGGAACAAGAGAGACAACUGUGGUUCUUUGCCUUCAAGACCACAAGACCUUGGGGACAAGAAGGUGGCUGGUUUUUCACUGUGGGGCCACUGCAUGGCCCUGGGGUUUCUGAGAUCCCACCUAGAACAGCUCCCACCCUGUAGCUGGGUGAGCAGAGGGUGGCUGUGUCCUGGGUCUCUGUCUGGGGUGGUGGGCGGGUGUCAAUGGGGACAUGGGAUAUCAGAUCCUAGGGCUCCCAUGCUGACCCCUGUGUCCUUGGCAGAUAUCCCGCCCAGGUACCCGUUCCAAGCCCUGCCACCGCACUACGGGAGGCCCUACCCUUUCCUGCUGCAGCCCACGGCGGCCGCCGACGCGGACGGCUUGGCCCCUGAUGUGCCGCUCCCGGCUGAUGGGCCCGAGCGCCUGGCACUCUCACCCGAAGACAAGCCCAUCCGCUUGUCCCCCUCCAAGAUUACAGAGCCGCUGCGGGAGGGCCCGGAGGAAGAACCGCUGGCUGAGCGGGAGGUGAAGGCAGAGGUGGAGGACAUGGAUGAGGGCCCCACAGAGCUGCCGCCUCUGGAGUCGCCGCUGCCACUGCCCGCCGCGGAAGCCAUGGCUACCCCCAGCCCUGCAGGGGGUUGUGGAGGUGGCCUGUUGGAGGCCCAGGCGCUGAGUGCCACCGGGCAGAGCUGCGCAGAGCCCUCUGAGUGUCCAGACUUUGUGGAGGGGCCUGAACCACGGGUGGAUUCCCCGGGCCGGACAGAACCCUGCACCGCCGCCCUGGACCUGGGGGUGCAGCUGACAACCGAGACGCUGGUGGAGGCCAAGGAGGAGCCGGUGGAGGUGCCUGUGGCGGUGCCCGUGGUGGAGGCAGUGCCCGAGGAAGGCCUGGCGCAGGUGGCACCGAGCGAGUCCCAGCCCACCCUAGAAAUGUCAGACUGUGACGUGCCCGCCGGGGAGGGACAGUGCCCGAGCCUGGAGCCCCAAGAGGCCGUGCCUGUACCCGGCAGCACCUGCUUCCUGGAAGAGGCAAGCUCUGACCAGUUCCUGCCCAGUCUGGAGGACCCACUGGCUGGCAUGAAUGCCCUGGCGGCAGCUGCGGAGCUGCCCCAGGCCAGGCCUCUGCCCUCCCCGGGUGCUGCUGGAGCCCAGGCCUUGGAGAAGCUGGAAGCAGCCGAGAGCCUUGUCUUGGAGCAGAGCUUCCUGCAUGGCAUCACCCUGCUAAGUGAGAUCGCAGAGCUGGAGCUGGAGAGGAGGAGCCAAGAGAUGGGAGGUGUGGAGCGGGCCCUGGUGGCGCGGCCCUCCCUGGAGAGUCUGCUGGCAGCUGGCAGCCACAUGCUGAGGGAGGUGCUGGAUGGGCCCGUGGUGGACCCACUCAAGAACCUGCGGCUCCCGCGGGAGCUGAAGCCCAACAAGAAGUACAGCUGGAUGCGGAAGAAGGAGGAGCGGAUGUACGCCAUGAAGUCCUCCCUGGAGGACAUGGAUGCCCUGGAGCUGGACUUCCGGAUGCGGUUGGCCGAGGUGCAGCGCCAGUACAAGGAGAAGCAGCGGGAGCUGGUGAAGCUGCAGCGCCGCCGGGACUCCGAGCUAAGCAGCAAGUCUCUACUGACAUCAGAUGAUUACGAGCUCGGAGCAGGGAUAAGAAAGAGACACAAGGGGUCUGAGGAGGAACACGAUGCCCUCAUCGGAAUGGGGAAAGCCAGGGGGAGGAACCAGACUUGGGAUGAACAUGAGGCCUCGUCCGACUUCAUCAGUCAGCUAAAGAUUAAGAAGAAGAAGAUGGCCAGCGACCAGGAGCAGUUGGCAAGCAAGCUCGACAAGGCCCUCUCCCUCACCAAGCAGGACAAGUUGAAGUCGCCCUUCAAGUUUUCGGACAGUGCUGGGGGGAAAUCGAAAACUAGCGGGGGCUGCGGCAGGUACUUGACUCCUUACGACAGCCUGCUGGGGAAGGACAGGAAGGCGCUGGCCAAGGGCCUCGGCCUGUCUCUGAAAUCCUCCAGAGAAGGUAAACACAAAAGGGCAGCCAAAACCAGGAAGAUGGAGGUGGGGUUCAAGGCCAGAGGCCAGCCCAAGUCGGCCCAUUCCCCGUUUGCCUCGGAAGUGAGCAGCUACUCUUACAAUACGGACUCAGAGGAAGACGAAGAAUUCCUGAAGGACGAGUGGCCCGCCCAAGGCCCCUCCAGCUCCAAACUGACGCCUUCCCUCCUGUGUAGCAUGGUGGCAAAGAACAGCAAGGCAGCUGGUGGCCCCAAGCUGACCAAGAGGGGCCUGGCGGCCCCCCGGACUCUGAAACCCAAGCCGGCCACCAGCAGGAAGCAGCCGUUUUGUUUGCUGCUUCGAGAGGCGGAGGCGCGUUCCUCCUUCAGCGACUCUUCGGAGGAAUCGUUUGACCAAGAUGAGAGCUCGGAGGAGGAGGACGAGGAGGAGGAGCUUGAGGAGGAGGACGAGGCCAGCGGUGGCGGCUACAGGCUGGGUACCCGGGAGCGGGCCCUGUCGCCGGGCCUGGAGGAGAGUGGGCUGGGCCUGCUGGCACGCUUUGCCGCCAGCGCCCUCCCCAGCCCCACGGUGGGUCCAUCCCUGUCUGUGGUACAGCUGGAGGCCAAGCAGAAGGCCCGGAAGAAAGAGGAGCGGCAGAGCCUGCUGGGCACAGAGUUCGAGUACACCGACUCAGAGAGCGAGGUCAAGGUGCGCAAGCGGUCGCCUGCGGGGCUGCUGCGGCCCAAGAAGGGGCUGGGGGAGCCGGGACCCUCCCUGGCCGCACCCACGCCUGGCGCCCGCGGUCCCGGCCCCAGCAGCCCAGACAAGGCCAAGCUGGCGGUGGAGAAGGGGCGCAAGGCCCGGAAGCUGCGGGGCCCAAGGAGCCUGGCUUCGAGGCGGGGCCCGAGGCCAGC